Molecule: non-coding RNA, 106 nt
Filed under: Megasphaera hominis
Lineage: Bacteria; Bacillati; Bacillota; Negativicutes; Veillonellales; Veillonellaceae
Description: FMN riboswitch (RFN element)
Rfam family: FMN riboswitch aptamer (RFN element)
About the family: The RFN element is a highly conserved domain that is found frequently in the 5'-untranslated regions of prokaryotic mRNAs that encode for flavin mononucleotide (FMN) biosynthesis and transport proteins. This element is a metabolite-dependent riboswitch that directly binds FMN in the absence of proteins. In Bacillus subtilis, the riboswitch most likely controls gene expression by causing premature transcription termination within the 5' untranslated region of the ribDEAHT operon and precluding access to the ribosome-binding site of ypaA mRNA.
Source: RNAcentral
UCAAGGGCAGGGUGUAAUCCCCGACCGGCGGUAAAGUCCGCGAACACGCAAGUGUACGAUUUGGUGCAAUUCCAAAACCGACAGUACAGUCUGGAUGAAUGAAGAU